Molecule: transfer RNA, 72 nt
Filed under: Cavia porcellus (domestic guinea pig)
Lineage: Eukaryota; Metazoa; Chordata; Mammalia; Rodentia; Caviidae
Description: tRNA-Sup (CTA) (tRNA-Sup-CTA-1-1)
Rfam family: tRNA
About the family: Transfer RNA (tRNA) molecules are approximately 80 nucleotides in length. Their secondary structure includes four short double-helical elements and three loops (D, anti-codon, and T loops).
Source: Rfam by way of RNAcentral
GGCUCCAUGGUGUAAUGGUGAGCACUCUGGACUCUAAAUCCAGUGAUCUGAGUUCAAACCUCAGUAGAACCU